UGGUGUGACAGUUCUUAUCUAGUGUCAAGCUCAUCAGAUCUAGAAAUCCUUUGGAGAUAAUCUGGGGGCGUGUUUGAUAGGGACUUUCAAGACUAGGUUAAUGUAGGUGGAAGACCCACCCUAAAUGUGGGCAGCACGACUCCAUUCUAGGCUUGGGUCUUAGAAUGAACAAGGAGAAAAGGAGCUGAACACCAAUAUUCAUCUCUGUUUCCUGACCGUGACCAUGAAUGCAACGUGAUGGGUUGCCAGUGCCUUCCCAUCACAGUCGGCUGUAUCCUCAAAGUUGAAACAAAAUAACCCCUUUUUUUUUUUCCUCGAGCUACUUUUGUCAGGUUAUUUUGUUACAGCAGCAGACUGGUAACUAAUACAACUGGCUUUGCCCUGAGCCAUUACUGGAUAGCUCUGGAUCACCAGCCCUCUUCAUAACUCUCCUCAUAACCUCUUGGAUCCGUCCCCUCCAGGCCAAAUCCUCAGCCUGAGGCUCACAGUCUGUCUCUCACCCAACUCUGUGGAGAGUCUGUCCUGCCAGCUGGCCACCCAGGGUGGCCAUAUCAUCCUCCUGCCUCAUCUCCCACCUCUCUGCCCAUCUCUGCCUUGUUACCUCUGCCUGGAAGAAGACCCCCACCUCCUACUUGUGAUUAGGUUAUGGGUCUUCUCCUCCCUGUCUAGGCACACAUGGCUGACCAUAGCUGCUUCUGGGCUACGUUGAGAUAUCCAUGUUCUUCUAUGCCCUCUCACAGCCUCCUGGUCUGCAUACUGCCUGAGAUCUUCCCUGGGCCAGAUCUACUUCAGUCUCAUGGCUGUUUGUGCAUGGCUGGGUUCCAGACAUCUGUCUCCAGCCCCUUGUUCUCCCCAGACUGUAGACUCAGCCCCAUCCCCUCCUGGAUGUCCAAUGAGGUAGGAAGCUGUCUUUCUGACAUAAAACCCUGGGCUUCUCCUGGUUUGGGCCUUUGGGCUUGUAGCUAUGGUCUAGGAAUCCCUUAGCUGUUCAGAGCCGUAUGAGGCCGGCCACCUCUUUGGCCACUUCCAUGGACUAGAUCUGUGCCCAGUGUUUCACUGUGCUGCCUCUUGCCCACCCUACUUGCCUCCAGUGCACCUUGUCAUGACGGUAGUUCUGCUUGCCUCUAGUCUCUCUGCUCCUACUCAGCUCAAGGACCAGAGCCAUGCUGGGCAUGCGUGAGGCUUUGGCACUCCUGCCUUGAACCUGCCACAGCCUGAUCCCUUGCAGAAAUGCUAAAUCUCCUGGGGUUGUGAUGCUGUGACCUCCCUCUCCUCAGCCCUCCUAACCUUACUUCCUGCCUACUUUACACUUAUGUCAUCUUCCUUUAUGGCUUCCUGGCUUUCUUGCAGAUUACCUGUCAUUUGUCAGAAUAAGAGCUUCCUGAGGGCAGGAGGGACAUAUGAUUAGUUAGCUUGUUGGCAUAUUUUAUUUUCCCCCAGCAAAACAGGUGGAGGCAUAGUGCUCUGAUGGACUAUUUAUAUAACUCAUUUCCUCUCCAGAGAAGCUCUGUAGGGCAAUGCUUGGGUCUCUGGGACAUGGUAACUACUAGUGGAAAAAGUUGGGGGUUUGUGUGGGUGGAUUUUGCAUGAACCACCCUUAGCAUUCUGCCCAGGUGAGCCCUCCAUCCCUGGUGGGGUACACACAUAGCUUCCUGAGAGGCAACUGCCAGCCUUAAACCUUAACACCCCAUCCAUCCAUCCAUCCAUCCAUCCAUCCAUCCAUCCAUCCAUCCAUCCAUCCAUCCAAGCUCCGUUUUCCCCAGGGAAGGCAAUACUUGACACUCUCUUUUUUUUUCUAGGACCUCUCACUAUGAGCCAUCAUCUUGUAGUGUUUCAAAACAUUCUUUUUGAGUUCAGAACGGAUGCUCUUAAUUACUGGAAGAAGGAGGAAGAGGAAGAAGAGAAAGAGGAGGAGGAGGAGAGGCUUGGGACCCAGUGGGACAGAAAAGUUUGUCAGAAAAGCACGUGAGAUCUCCAUGGCAUACUUCCAGAGGAUGGCAGGCUGUGGUCCUGAGAACGCUGAAGCCAAGAGGAAACACCUCAGAUGUCUAUGGGGAAGUUCCUCAAGACUCCAAACGCUAGCCAUGAAUAGCCAAGUCACGCCAUCUGUCUGAUUUCUCCAAGAAUUUAUGAUCCUAUCAUUAGAGUGUUCAUAUUCCAACUCAAACCACCAUGUCUGUCUGUCUGUCUCUCUGUCUCUGUCUCUGUCUCUGUCUCUGUCUCUGUCUCUCUCUCUCUCUCUCUCUCUCACACACACACACACACACACACACACACACACACACACACACACACAUUGUGCUUUAGUUUGCAAGAUCUCACAUACAUGAAGGCCCCAAGGGUUCUCUAGGGUGGCUGUUCACAUCCUGGAUUUUCAGAUGGGGAAUGAGAGCAUCAGGGGGAUGGCCUUAAUCAGCUCUCCAGGGAAAACCCUCCUGGGUAUAGCAUCUUCUGGUUUUAUGAUAUAAUUCAUCCUUAGCUGGGAAGAGGCACAGACACCUCUCUCCACUGGUUCUGACUGGUUCUAGCCCAACCAGGGCCUUAGCCCAGAGACAAAACUGCCUGUGCUCAGCCUUCAGAGGCAGAGGCAUGCCUGGAACUCCCAUCUCCAUUGCUCUCCUCACUGAGGCCACGUAGCCCUGACCUGCUUCCUUUCUGCCUGGCUCUGGUUCUGUGUCUGGAACACAGAGGGGAAACAAUGACCCGACUGUGCAGAUAGUAAUGACUGGACUAUCGAUAUCGACUUCUCUAUUUCCCUCUCUGCCAUCUUCCUCUGCCUCUGGCGGGUCUGUUCAGUGAGGGAUACAGAGAUCUGACUGCAAACAGCUGGGUUCAGGUGAAGGAGGUACGCAUCCCUGACUUGGCUGAAUCCCAGGUAACAUCCUUGGACACCAUUACUCCAGCUGCAAAGAAGAGAUCCUAACAACCACUUCAGAGGUGUUAAAGACAGAAGACUGGAGGUCCAAAAGCCAUGUAGAAAGUCCCCAAUAACUGUGGCCAAAGGCUUAAGACUUCAGGGUCCGGUGACAGGUCUAAUUUCACCUGGACCUUCAACCUUUGUAGGUACCUGGUGUCAUCUAAGACAGGGAACCACCUAAAAGGAACAUUCCAGACGGGGAAAUUCCUUUAGGGCAAAUCCCCUAAAUGCUGACAAGGUGAAAACAAGGCAGAAGCAAUAAAUAUAAAAAAAGGCUGGAUCGGCUGUGCCACAAAGAGCAAGGCAAACCAUUCAUCGAUGCUGACAAAUUACGGGAGACAGGCACGGGAGCCCGGAAGUCCAUUUUUCGUGGAACCUCCUAGAGUGUCUUGCCUCUGCAGGUGGCGAGACAUGGCUUGCUAACAUGGCUUCCCCAAAGGCAGCUGCUCUCCGUGGACACAGCAGCGUUUGUUUUCUAGGUUGUGGUGAAGCUUUCUGGUCUAGGACUGUAGGAUGUGUUCAGUUGGGGGAAGGGAUGGGGCUUUAUCCUUCCAGGGACCUUUGAACUAUCCCUUGCCAGCGGAAGUCAGGAGUCCCCUCCUCCAGGAGGCACUACUGGUGGCACUGAGUUCCUUACAUAAGGAUAUUCAGAAAGUUCCUGAGGAAGCAGAUGAGGACCCACAUCACAGAUACCCACUCAGGGCUUUGUCCAAGCUCACAGUAGCUCCACUGCUAUUGUUUCUCCUUAGGCUGGUGCUUUCUGGGAACUCCCAGGGCAAAAGCACACCCGGGGAAUUAAGCUAGAGGUGUGCAGACAUAGCAAUCAACUUCCCCAAACCUCCCCAGAGCUAAGGUUCCUGAGAAUCUCUCCUUAGAUGACCUCAGUAUCGGGUGUUCCGCUCCGCAUGAGCUGAGCCUCCGCACAGGGUUGUCCCGAGAACUACAAUACACACAAUACAAUACAAUACAAUACAAUACAAUACAAUACAAUACAAUACAACACAAUACAAUACAAUACACACAAUACAAUACAAUACAAUACACACAAUACAAUACAAUACAAUACAAUACACACAAUACAAUACAAUAAAAUACACACAAUAAAUACAAUACAAUACACACAAUACAAUACAAUACACGUUGUCUACAUUUGUCUAGUCUUGCCCUCAUCCAUUCAAGUACCCUAGUGACUCUUCGAAGUGGACUGUGAUUUAGCUUUAGACCCAUCCCUCUCUGGGGUCUUUGACUAUAACAGUGGUUCUGAGACUUUCAAAUACUGUGACCCUUUAAUACAGUUCCUCAUAUUGUGGUAACCCCCCAUCAAUAAAAUUAUUUUUGUUGCUACUUCA
Molecule: long non-coding RNA, 4266 nt
Organism: Rattus norvegicus (Norway rat)
Lineage: Eukaryota; Metazoa; Chordata; Mammalia; Rodentia; Muridae
Source: RefSeq, a predicted model, not a curated record